GCCUACGGGAGGCAGCAGUGGGGAAUAUUGCACAAUGGGCGCAAGCCUGAUCCAGCGACGCCGCGUGAGUGAUGAAGGCCUUCGGGUCGUAAAGCUCUGUUGUUAGGGAAGAACAAGUACCGUUCGAAUAGGGCGGUACCUUGACGGUACCUAACCAGAAAGCCACGGCUAACUACGUGCCAGCAGCCGCGGUC
Molecule: ribosomal RNA, 194 nt
Filed under: uncultured bacterium
Lineage: Bacteria
Description: partial 16S ribosomal RNA
Rfam family: Bacterial small subunit ribosomal RNA
Source: RNAcentral